UACGUAGGGACCAAGCGUUGUUCGGAUUUACUGGGCGUAAAGGGCGCGUAGGCGGCGUGGUAAGUCAGCUGUGAAAUCUCCGAGCUUAACUCGGAACGGUCAGCUGAUACUGCUGUGCUAGAGUACAGAAAGGGCAAUCGGAAUUCUUGGUGUAGCGGUGAAAUGCGUAGAUAUCGGGAGGAACACCAGUGGCGAAGGCGAGUCCCUGGACAGGUCCUGACGCUGAGGCACGAAAGCUAGGGGAGCAAACAGG
RNAcentral lists this ribosomal RNA (253 nucleotides) under uncultured bacterium. RNAcentral's name for it is "partial 16S ribosomal RNA". It matches the Rfam family "Bacterial small subunit ribosomal RNA", at positions 524 to 776 of the family's 1533-position model. The record is from RNAcentral.